CGUAGGGUGCGAGCGUUAAUCGGAAUUACUGGGCGUAAAGUCGUGCGCAGGCGGUUUUGUAAGACAGAUGUGAAAUCCCCGGGCUCAACCUGGGACCUGCAUUUGUGACUGCAAGGCUAGAGUACGGUAGAGGGGGAUGGAAUUCCGCGUGUAGCAGUGAAAUGCGUAGAUAUGCGGAGGAACACCGAUGGCGAAGGCAAUCCCCUGGACCUGUACUGACGCUCAUGCACGAAAGCGUGGGGAGCAAACAGGAUUAGAUACCCUGGUAGUCCACGCCCUAAACGAUGUCAACUGGUUGUUGGGUCUUUACUGACUCAGUAACGAAGCUAACGCGUGAAGUUGACCGCCUGGGGAGUACGGCCGCAAGGUUG
RNAcentral lists this ribosomal RNA (371 nucleotides) under uncultured organism. Its description in RNAcentral is "bacterial SSU rRNA". It matches the Rfam family "Bacterial small subunit ribosomal RNA", at positions 526 to 896 of the family's 1533-position model. The record is from RNAcentral.